GUUUGCAUUGGCCACGCCCAUUCCCUUUAGCCACGCCCCCAAUUUGGUCACGCCCCCCAAUUUGGCCACGCCCCCCGUUUGGCCACGCCCCCCGUUUGGUCACGCCCCCACCCCCUGCGGUUGAGCGACAUGAACCCAUGGGAAGUCAUGCCCGUUUGCAUUGGCCACGCCCAUUCCCGUUGGCCACGCCCCAGUUUGGCAACGCCCCUCACCCCCAGGGAUCAAGGCCCAUGUGAACUCAUGCCCAUUUGCAUUGGCCACGCCCACUCCCAAUAGGCCACGCCCCCGUAUUUCCACGCCCGUAUAGGCCACGCAUGCCAUCGUUGGCCACGCCCCCCCUUGGCCACGCCCCUCACAGGCCACGCCCCCACCCCCAAGGGUCCAGCCCCGUAGACUCGGGUCCAUUUGCAUUGGCCACGCCCCGUGUUGCCACGCCCAUAUAGACCACACCCACAUUUGGCCACGCCCCGCACUUGGCCACGCCCCCACCCCCUGCGGUUGAGCGACAUGAACCUGCAGGAAGUCGUGCUCAUUUGCAUUGGCCACGCCCCCCCUUUGGCCACGCCCCCCAUAAAGCCACGCCCCCACCUCCCACGGGUCCAGCCCCAUAGACUCAUGCCCAUUUGCAUUGGCCACGCCCACUCCCAAUCGGCCACACCCGCCGCCGUUGGCCACGCCCCCUUUGGCCACGCCCACUCCCAUUAGGCCAUGCCCACUCCAUGGGGGCUGGAGCACCACGGUCUGCAGGCCACGCCCACCUAUCACAGGCCACGCCCACUUCUCCCAGGCCACGCCCAUUCCCAUUAGGCCACGCCCACUUCUCCCAGGCCACGCCCAUUCCCAUUAG
This 847-nucleotide long non-coding RNA is filed under the name Numida meleagris (helmeted guineafowl). Its description in RNAcentral is "lncRNA (ENSNMEG00000003900.1)". Lineage: Eukaryota; Metazoa; Chordata; Aves; Galliformes; Numididae. The record is from RNAcentral.